GGAGCAGCCCAGGUGGCCGCUGGCCGGCUUCCAGCCGGCUGGAGGAAAGUCCGAACUCCAUAGGGCAGGAUGCUGGGUAACACCCAGUCACGGCGACGUGAAGGAAAGUGCCACAGAAAACAUACCGCCUCGUUCGCGGGGUAAGGGUGAAAAGGUGCGGUAAGAGCGCACCGCGGAGGGGGUGACUCCUCCGGCAGGGCAAACCCCAUCCGGAGCAAGACCAAAUAGAGGAGCGCUCGAGGGCGGCCCGUCCAAGCUCCCGGGUAGGUUGCACGAGGCGCCGGGCAACCGGCGUCCCAGAUGAAUGGCCACCACCUUCGGGGACAGAAUUCGGCUUAUCGGCUGCUCCGCCC
RNAcentral lists this RNase P RNA (353 nucleotides) under candidate division CSSED10-310 bacterium. RNAcentral's name for it is "RNase P RNA component class A". It matches the Rfam family "Bacterial RNase P class A". Rfam says of the family: Ribonuclease P (RNase P) is a ubiquitous endoribonuclease, found in archaea, bacteria and eukarya as well as chloroplasts and mitochondria. The record is from RNAcentral. Lineage: Bacteria; candidate division CSSED10-310.